CGGGCGGCGACUACCAUGCAGUCGAACGGUAACAGGAAACAGCUUGCUGUUUCGCUGACGAGUGGCGGACGGGUGAGUAAUGUCUGGGAAACUGCCUGAUGGAGGGGGAUAACUACUGGAAACGGUAGCUAAUACCGCAUAACGUCGCAAGACCAAAGAGGGGGACCUUCGGGCCUCUUGCCAUCGGAUGUGCCCAGAUGGGAUUAGCUAGUAGGUGGGGUAACGGCUCACCUAGGCGACGAUCCCUAGCUGGUCUGAGAGGAUGACCAGCCACACUGGAACUGAGACACGGUCCAGACUCCUACGGGAGGCAGCAGUGGGGAAUAUUGCACAAUGGGCGCAAGCCUGAUGCAGCCAUGCCGCGUGUAUGAAGAAGGCCUUCGGGUUGUAAAGUACUUUCAGCGGGGAGGAAGGGAGUAAAGUUAAUACCUUUGCUCAUUGACGUUACCCGCAGAAGAAGCACCGGCUAACUCCGUGCCAGCAGCCGCGGUAAUACGGAGGGUGCAAGCGUUAAUCGGAAUUACUGGGCGUAAAGCGCACGCAGGCGGUUUGUUAAGUCAGAUGUGAAAUCCCCGGGCUCAACCUGGGAACUGCAUCUGA
Molecule: ribosomal RNA, 600 nt
Filed under: Escherichia coli
Lineage: Bacteria; Pseudomonadati; Pseudomonadota; Gammaproteobacteria; Enterobacterales; Enterobacteriaceae
Description: bacterial SSU rRNA
Rfam family: Bacterial small subunit ribosomal RNA
Source: RNAcentral